RNAcentral lists this ribosomal RNA (253 nucleotides) under uncultured bacterium. RNAcentral describes it as "partial 16S ribosomal RNA". It matches the Rfam family "Bacterial small subunit ribosomal RNA", at positions 524 to 776 of the family's 1533-position model. The record is from RNAcentral.
UACGUAGGUGGCAAGCGUUAUCCGGAUUUAUUGGGUGUAUAGGGCGUGUAGGCGGGAGCGCAAGUCAGAUGUGAAAACUCAGGGCUCAACCCUGAGCCUGCAUUUGAAACUGCGUUUCUUGAGUGCUGGAGAGGCAAUCGGAAUUCCGUGUGUAGCGGUGAAAUGCGUAGAUAUACGGAGGAACACCAGUGGCGAAGGCGGAUUGCUGGACAGUAACUGACGCUGAGGCGCGAAAGCGUGGGGAGCAAACAGG